This 584-nucleotide unclassified non-coding RNA is filed under the name Hevea brasiliensis (rubber tree). Lineage: Eukaryota; Viridiplantae; Streptophyta; Magnoliopsida; Malpighiales; Euphorbiaceae. The record is from RNAcentral.
GGGGGCAUCGAUGACAUUUGCAUAGGUGGCCUUCCAGGUUGCUGCUGCUGCAUCGGUGGUGGUGGUGGUCGCCAAAGCUGUGGCUGUGCUCCUCCCAUUCCCAUUGGUGGAGGGAUAGGCAUGGAAUGCGCUUGAGCCUGAGGAGGUGGCAGAGGCAUGUUUGGGGGAGGUGGCCGGAACUGCUGAACUGGUGGCGGAAUGAUGGAACCUGGCAUCAUUUGACCUGGUUGUUGUGGCUGACCCUGCCAGGCUGGUGGUUGUCCAGCCAUUGGCAUAGGGGGGAAAGCCACCCCUUGCGGUGGGGGAGGACGAAUUGCAGGAAUCGGGCUGGGAGCGAUUGCACCAUUAGCAAAGGGGCGUGGUGGCACUGGAGCUCCGAUUGCACCAUUAGGCUGUGCAACCUUUGGAAGUGUCGGAGGGCCACUUGCGAACAAAGUGUGAGGCCUACUCUUCUGGGGAUUGCUAGCAGCCAAUACUCUCUCUGCAGGUGUGCCGUGCCGCUCUCCCUUGGUAUCUUUCUUAUAGGCAUAAGAAACCGUUAUUUGACGAUUACAAAGAUACUGACCAUUCAUUGCCUCAAUUGC